UUACGGUCAAAUCACGUUGAAACACCGGUUUCUCGUACGAUCACCGAAGUUAAGCAGCGGUAGAGCCAGGUCAGUACUUAGAUGGGGGACCGCUUGGGAACACCUGGUACUGUAAG
This 116-nucleotide ribosomal RNA is filed under the name Acanthosepion pharaonis. Lineage: Eukaryota; Metazoa; Mollusca; Cephalopoda; Sepiida; Sepiidae. The record is from RNAcentral.